Molecule: ribosomal RNA, 946 nt
Filed under: Cerodontha flavocingulata
Lineage: Eukaryota; Metazoa; Arthropoda; Insecta; Diptera; Agromyzidae
Description: eukaryotic LSU rRNA
Rfam family: Eukaryotic large subunit ribosomal RNA
Source: RNAcentral
AAUGAUAAUUGUGAAAUGCAGUGUAUGGAAUAUCUAAAUUCUAGUAUGAAAAAUUAAUGAUUUAAGUCCUUCUUAAAUGAGGCCAUUUAUCCGUAGAGGGUGCCAGGCCCGUAUAACAUUAAUGAUUAUUAGAAGAUAUUUCCAAAGAGUCGUGUUGCUUGAUAGUGCAGCACUAAGUUGGUGGUAAACUCCAUCUAAAACUAAAUAUAACCAUAAGACCGAUAGCAAACAAGUACCGUGAGGGAAAGUUGAAAAGAACUCUGAAUAGAGAGUUAAAUAGUACGUGAAACUGCUUAGAGAUUAAACCCGAUGAACCUGAAUAUCCAAUAUAGAGAAUUCAUCAUUAAGAUAAUAAUUAUAUUUUUAUUAUUAUGGUGUGCAUUUUCUCUAUAUAAUUGGACAUUGUAAUCUAUUAAUAUAUAAUACAAAAUUUAUCAUAAGAUCAUAAGCUUAUGUUUAUUUUAAUUAAUUUGUUUCGGCUUAUUAAUAUAAAAUAAUUGCUAUUGAUUUGAUAAAGUAUUGAUAGAUAUUUAUUGUAUAAUGCAUAAAUUUCAUAUGAAAUUUUUAUUUUAAUAUUAAUAAAGCAUUUUAUAUACGAUUAACAAUGCGAAAGAUUCAGGAUACCUUCGGGACCCGUCUUGAAACACGGACCAAGGAGUCUAACAUAUGUGCAAGUUUUUGGGUUAUAUUUUAUAUAAUACCUAAAAGCAUAAUUAACAUAACUUGAUUUAAAAUGGGAUGAAUUUUAUAAUUAAAACAAAUUAUAUUAAUUCAUCCCGGGGCGUUCUUUAUAGUUAUGUAUAAAUAAUAUUUAUAUUAUUAAUUACCUCUAACUAGAGCGUACCUUGAGCAUAUAUGCUGUGACCCGAAAGAUGGUGAACUAUACUUGAUCAGGUUGAAGUCAGGGGAAACCCUGAUGGAAGACCGAAACAGUUCUGACGUGCAA